CUCGUAGGCGGUUCGGUAAGUCGGGUGUGAAAACUCUGGGCUCAACCCAGAGAGGCCAUUCGAUACUGCUGUGACUAGAGUGCGGUAGGGGAGCGGGGAAUUUCUGGUGUAGCGGUGAAAUGCGCAGAUAUCAGAAGGAACACCAGUGGCGAAGGCGCCGCUCUGGGCCGUAACUGACGCUGAGGAGCGAAAGCAUGGGUAGCAAACA
This 208-nucleotide ribosomal RNA is filed under the name uncultured bacterium. RNAcentral's name for it is "partial 16S ribosomal RNA". It matches the Rfam family "Bacterial small subunit ribosomal RNA", at positions 568 to 774 of the family's 1533-position model. The record is from RNAcentral.